Triticum aestivum (bread wheat) is the source of this 125-nucleotide non-coding RNA. The record is from Rfam. NCBI's taxonomy places the organism in Eukaryota, Viridiplantae, Streptophyta, Magnoliopsida, Poales, Poaceae.
CAUAUACUCCCUCCGUCCGGAAAUACUUGUCGGAGGAAUGGAUGCAUCUAGUCAUAUUUUAGUUUUAGAUGCAUCCAUUUUUAUCCAUUUAUGCGACAAGUAUUUUCGGACGGAGGGAGUACAUC